CGAGUGGGGAAUUUUCCGCAAUGGGCGAAAGCCUGACGGAGCAAUGCCGCGUGGAGGUGGAAGGCCUACGGGUCGUCAACUUCUUUUCUCGGAGAAGAAACAAUGACGGUAUCUGAGGAAUAAGCAUCGGCUAACUCUGUGCCAG
Molecule: ribosomal RNA, 145 nt
Filed under: uncultured bacterium
Lineage: Bacteria
Description: partial 16S rRNA
Rfam family: Bacterial small subunit ribosomal RNA
Source: RNAcentral